Molecule: ribosomal RNA, 250 nt
Filed under: uncultured bacterium
Lineage: Bacteria
Description: partial 16S ribosomal RNA
Rfam family: Bacterial small subunit ribosomal RNA
Source: RNAcentral
CGAACGCCUGUAGCAAUACAGGAGUGGCGCACGGGUGAGUAACACGUGGGUAUCUACCUAGCUGUACGGAACAACCGCGGGAAACUGCGGCUAAUACCGUAUACGCCCUUCGGGGGAAAGAUUUAUCGCAGCUAGAUGAGCCCGCGUCCGAUUAGCUAGUUGGUGAGGUAAUGGCUCACCAAGGCUCCGAUCGGUAGCUGGUCUGAGAGGAUGACCAGCCACACUGGGACUGAGACACGGCCCAGACUCC